This 85-nucleotide transfer RNA is filed under the name Felis catus (domestic cat). It matches the Rfam family "tRNA". From Rfam's summary of the family: Transfer RNA (tRNA) molecules are approximately 80 nucleotides in length. Their secondary structure includes four short double-helical elements and three loops (D, anti-codon, and T loops). The record is from Rfam by way of RNAcentral. RNAcentral also lists the same sequence under 1 other name. Lineage: Eukaryota; Metazoa; Chordata; Mammalia; Carnivora; Felidae.
GCCUGGGUGGCUCAGUCGGUUGAGCGUCCGACUUCGGCUCAGGUCAUGAUCUCGCGGUUUGUGGGUUCAAGCCCCACGUCGGGCU